AAAAACAUUUCUUCCUAGAUUAGGAGGUAAGGCCUGCUCACUGAAAAUUUAAAGAGCCGCAGUAUCCUAACUGUGCUAAGGUAGCAUAAUCAUUAGUCUUUUAAUUGAAGACUGGUAUGAAUGGCUUAACGAGAGAUUGACUUUUUUUAUUAUACAAAUUUAAUUUAAUUUUUUAGUGAAAAAGCUAAAAUUUUUCAGAAAGACGAGAAGACCCUAUAGAGUUUUAUGUUUUUUUAUAUUUUUUAUUAUUAGAUUUUUAAAGAAUUAGUAUAAUUAAACAUUUUGUUGGGGCGACAUUAAGAUAAAAAAAACUCUUAUUUUUUAAAAUUUUUUUAAAAAUGUAAAUUGAUCCUUUAAAAAAGAUUAUAAGAAAAAAUUACCUUAGGGAUAACAGCGUAAUCUUUUUUGAGAGUUCUAAUCGACAAAAAGGUUUGCGACCUCGAUGUUGGACUAAAAUUUAGACAAGGUGCAGCCGCUUUGUUUUUAGGUCUGUUCGACCUAUAAAA
RNAcentral lists this ribosomal RNA (506 nucleotides) under Trevathana jensi. RNAcentral's name for it is "partial 16S ribosomal RNA". It matches the Rfam family "Bacterial large subunit ribosomal RNA", at positions 1809 to 2593 of the family's 2925-position model. Lineage: Eukaryota; Metazoa; Arthropoda; Thecostraca; Balanomorpha; Pyrgomatidae. The record is from RNAcentral.